GGACCAUUACAGCUGCCUCCUAACCAGGCUCCCCCACCACAUGGGAGCCUCAACACAUGUCCCCAGGCCUUUGUGUCCCUAGGGGGAUUGGUUCCGGGAUCUCUUUGAGAUACCAAAAUCCAUGGGUGCUCAAAUCCCUUAUAGAAAAUAGUGUGGUAUUUACAUGGAAUCCACACACAUCUUCAUUUGCCUCUGGAUGACUUAUAAUACAUAAUACAGUGUAAAUGCUAUGUAUAUGGCUAUUGCAUUGUGUUGUUUAGGGGAUAAUGACAAGAAAAAAGUCUGUGUGUUCAGUACAGAUGCACUUUUUCUUUUACCAUGUGCAGUUGAUUGGAUCUGCAGAUGCAGUAUAGGUGCAGGUGCAGAGGGCUGACUGUACUGCGUUCUCUGCUGGGAAUGCUCUUUCGCCAAACAUCUUCAUGGUUUGCUCCUUCAUUCUAAGGAGCCCCUUCCCUCACCACCCCCCAGCCUCAGCAGGGGGCUUUCCUGACCACCUCAUCCAGAAAAACUUCUUUAACCCUUACCCUGACUUCUUUAUUGCAAAGCAUUCAUCAUAACCGGAUACUACUUUAGAUAUUUAUUGCUUUUUUUGGGGAAAAAAUGUCUUCCUAAAUGACUGUGACAGAGCGGUGGUAGGGACCAUGUCUGUCUUAUGCACAGCUGCCCCUGGGUGGCUUCUACACUCAAUGCACACCUACUGAGAGGAACAAAGCAUGAAUACUGCAUGAAGGAAUUCUUGGCUUAGUUUCCCCCUUUGCAGUCCAGGGCUCACUUUGUCAGCUGACCCUGUGCCUCUCCUGUUUUGUGGUCCUAGGGUUUCCAGGUUCUUUGAGCCCCAUCUGCUGAGGUUCUGGCUGAGCAGGUGUGAGAUGCAGACAGUGGGGUAUGCCCUGCAGUCUAGGAACUCCACUUUGGAAACUGCUGGUCUAGGACAUAGCAGGUGUUUAAUAAAUGUAAGUACUUUAAAAUAUAUAAUGAUUCUUACUAUUAGAAAAAAAUCUUUGCUUUUCUACUACACUAUA
This 1022-nucleotide long non-coding RNA is filed under the name Oryctolagus cuniculus (rabbit). RNAcentral describes it as "lncRNA (ENSOCUG00000036850.1)". Lineage: Eukaryota; Metazoa; Chordata; Mammalia; Lagomorpha; Leporidae. The record is from RNAcentral.